GGUCAAGUGAAGAAGCGCAUACGGUGGAUGCCUUGGCAGUCAGAGGCGAUGAAAGACGUGGUAGCCUGCGAAAAGCUUCGGGGAGUCGGCAAACAGACUGUGAUCCGGAGAUAUCUGAAUGGGGGAACCCAGCCAUCAUAAGAUGGUUAUCUUGUACUGAAUACAUAGGUGCAAGAGGCGAACCAGGGGAACUGAAACAUCUAAGUACCCUGAGGAAAAGAAAUCAACCGAGAUUCCCUUAGUAGUGGCGAGCGAACGGGGACCAGCCCUUAAGUUGUAUUGAGAUUAGCGGAACACUCUGGAAAGGGUGGCCAUAGUGGGUGAUAGCCCUGUACGCGAAAAUCCCUUUGCAAUGAAAUCGAGUAGGACGGGGCACGAGAAACCUUGUCUGAAUAUGGGGGGACCAUCCUCCAAGGCUAAAUACUACUGACUGACCGAUAGUGAACCAGUACCGUGAGGGAAAGGCGAAAAGAACCGCGGAGAGCGGAGUGAAAUAGAUCCUGAAACCGUAUGCGUACAAGCAGUGGGAGCCCACUUUGUUGGGUGACUGCGUACCUUUUGUAUAAUGGGUCAGCGACUUAUUUUCAGUGGCGAGCUUAACCGAAUAGGGGAGGCGUAGCGAAAGCGAGUCUUAAUAGGGCGUCUAGUCGCUGGGAAUAGACCCGAAACCGGGCGAUCUAUCCAUGGGCAGGUUGAAGGUUGGGUAACACUAACUGGAGGACCGAACCGACUACCGUUGAAAAGUUAGCGGAUGACCUGUGGAUCGGAGUGAAAGGCUAAUCAAGCUCGGAGAUAGCUGGUUCUCCUCGAAAGCUAUUUAGGUAGCGCCUCAUGUAUCACUGUAGGGGGUAGAGCACUGUUUCGGCUAGGGGGUCAUCCCGACUUACCAAACCGAUGCAAACUCCGAAUACCUACAAGUGCCGAGCAUGGGAGACACACGGCGGGUGCUAACGUCCGUCGUGAAAAGGGAAACAACCCAGACCGUCAGCUAAGGUCCCAAAGUCAUGGUUAAGUGGGAAACGAUGUGGGAAGGCUUAGACAGCUAGGAGGUUGGCUUAGAAGCAGCCACCCUUUAAAGAAAGCGUAAUAGCUCACUAGUCGAGUCGGCCUGCGCGGAAGAUGUAACGGGGCUCAAACCAUGCACCGAAGCUACGGGUAUCAUCUUUUGAUGAUGCGGUAGAGGAGCGUUCUGUAAGCCUGUGAAGGUGAGUUGAGAAGCUUGCUGGAGGUAUCAGAAGUGCGAAUGCUGACAUGAGUAACGACAAUGGGUGUGAAAAACACCCACGCCGAAAGACCAAGGUUUCCUGCGCAACGUUAAUCGACGCAGGGUUAGUCGGUCCCUAAGGCGAGGCUGAAAAGCGUAGUCGAUGGAAAACAGGUUAAUAUUCCUGUACUUCUGGUUAUUGCGAUGGAGGGACGGAGAAGGCUAGGCCAGCCUGGCGUUGGUUGUCCAGGUUUAAGGUGGUAGGCUGAGAUCUUAGGUAAAUCCGGGAUCUUAAGGCCGAGAGCUGAUGACGAGUGUUCUUUUAGAACACGAAGUGGUUGAUGCCAUGCUUCCAAGAAAAGCUUCUAAGCUUCAGGUAACCAGGAACCGUACCCCAAACCGACACAGGUGGUUGGGUAGAGAAUACCAAGGCGCUUGAGAGAACUCGGGUGAAGGAACUAGGCAAAAUGGCACCGUAACUUCGGGAGAAGGUGCGCCGGUGGAGGUGAAGCAUUUACUGCGUAAGCCCCUGCCGGUCGAAGAUACCAGGCCGCUGCGACUGUUUAUUAAAAACACAGCACUCUGCAAACACGAAAGUGGACGUAUAGGGUGUGACGCCUGCCCGGUGCCGGAAGGUUAAUUGAUGGGGUUAGCGCAAGCGAAGCUCUUGAUCGAAGCCCCGGUAAACGGCGGCCGUAACUAUAACGGUCCUAAGGUAGCGAAAUUCCUUGUCGGGUAAGUUCCGACCUGCACGAAUGGCGUAACGAUGGCGGCGCUGUCUCCACCCGAGACUCAGUGAAAUUGAAAUCGCUGUGAAGAUGCAGUGUAUCCGCGGCUAGACGGAAAGACCCCGUGAACCUUUACUAUAGCUUUGCACUGGACUUUGAAUUUGCUUGUGUAGGAUAGGUGGGAGGCUUUGAAGCGUGGACGCCAGUCUGCGUGGAGCCAACCUUGAAAUACCACCCUGGCAACUUUGAGGUUCUAACUCAGGUCCGUUAUCCGGAUCGAGGACAGUGUAUGGUGGGUAGUUUGACUGGGGCGGUCUCCUCCUAAAGAGUAACGGAGGAGUACGAAGGUGCGCUCAGACCGGUCGGAAAUCGGUCGUAGAGUAUAAAGGCAAAAGCGCGCUUGACUGCGAGACAGACACGUCGAGCAGGUACGAAAGUAGGUCUUAGUGAUCCGGUGGUUCUGUAUGGAAGGGCCAUCGCUCAACGGAUAAAAGGUACUCCGGGGAUAACAGGCUGAUACCGCCCAAGAGUUCAUAUCGACGGCGGUGUUUGGCACCUCGAUGUCGGCUCAUCACAUCCUGGGGCUGAAGCCGGUCCCAAGGGUAUGGCUGUUCGCCAUUUAAAGUGGUACGCGAGCUGGGUUUAGAACGUCGUGAGACAGUUCGGUCCCUAUCUGCCGUGGACGUUUGAGAUUUGAGAGGGGCUGCUCCUAGUACGAGAGGACCGGAGUGGACGAACCUCUGGUGUUCCGGUUGUCACGCCAGUGGCAUUGCCGGGUAGCUAUGUUCGGAAAAGAUAACCGCUGAAAGCAUCUAAGCGGGAAACUUGCCUCAAGAUGAGAUCUCACUGGAACCUUGAGUUCCCUAAAGGGCCGUCGAAGACUACGACGUUGAUAGGUUGGGUGUGUAAGCGCUGUGAGGCGUUGAGCUAACCAAUACUAAUUGCCCGUGAGGCUUGACCAU
This 2894-nucleotide ribosomal RNA is filed under the name Pseudomonas syringae. RNAcentral describes it as "23S ribosomal RNA". It matches the Rfam family "Bacterial large subunit ribosomal RNA". The record is from RNAcentral. Lineage: Bacteria; Pseudomonadati; Pseudomonadota; Gammaproteobacteria; Pseudomonadales; Pseudomonadaceae.